RNAcentral lists this ribosomal RNA (619 nucleotides) under uncultured archaeon. RNAcentral describes it as "bacterial SSU rRNA". It matches the Rfam family "Archaeal small subunit ribosomal RNA", at positions 142 to 764 of the family's 1478-position model. The record is from RNAcentral.
GAGGCUAAUGCCCCAUAGAUCUGGGAUGCUGGAACGCUUCCAGGUCGAAAGCUCCGGCGCCUGAGGAUGGGUCUGCGGCCUAUCAGCUUGUAGGGGGUUUUACAGACCCCCUAGGCUUCGACGGGUACGGGCUAUGGGAGUAGUCGCCCGGAGAUGGAUUCUGAGACACGAAUCCAGGCCCUACGGGGCGCAGCAGUCGCGAAAACUCCGCAAUGUGGGAAACCACGACGGGGGAACUCCCAGUGCGUGCACUUUGUGUACGCUGUUCUCGUUCCUAAAAAGCACGAGAAGUAAGGGCCGGGUAAGACGGGUGCCAGCCGCCGCGGUAAUACCCGCGGCCCGAGUGGUGCUCAUUAUUAUUGAGUCUAAAACGUCCGUAGCCGGUCGGGUAGAUUCCUGGGUAAAUCGAACCGCUCAACGGUUCGAAUUCCGGGGAGACCGUCCGACUUGGGACCGGGAGAGGCGCGAGGUACUCCUGGGGUAGGGGUAAAAUCCUGUAAUCCUGGGAGGACCACCAGUGGCGAAGGCGUCGCGCUAGAACGGAUCCGACGGUCAGGGACGAAGCCCAGGGGCGCAAACGGGAUUAGAUACCCCGGUAGUCCUGGGUGUAAACGCUGCA